RNAcentral lists this ribosomal RNA (674 nucleotides) under uncultured bacterium. RNAcentral describes it as "partial 16S ribosomal RNA". It matches the Rfam family "Bacterial small subunit ribosomal RNA", at positions 54 to 744 of the family's 1533-position model. The record is from RNAcentral.
CAUGCAAGUCGAGCGCACUCUUCGGAGUGAGCGGCGGACGGGUUAGUAACGCGUGGGAACGUGCCCUUCUCUAAGGAAUAGCCACUGGAAACGGUGAGUAAUACCUUAUACGCCCUUCGGGGGAAAGAUUUAUCGGAGAAGGAUCGGCCCGCGUUAGAUUAGAUAGUUGGGGGGGGUAACGGCCUACCAAGUCUACGAUCUAUAGCUGGGUUUUAGAGGAUGAUCAGCAACCCUGGGGACUGAGACACGGCCCAGACUCCUACGGGGAGGCACCAGUGGGGGAAUCUUGGACAAUGGGGCGGCAAGCCUGAUCCAGCCAUGCCCGCGGGAGUGAUGAAAGGCCUUAGGGUCGUAAAGCUUUUUUCGCCCGGGAAUGAUAAUGACAGUACCUGGAAAAGAAACCCCCGGCUAACUCCGUGGCGGGGGGGGGGGGGUAAUCCCCCCCCCCCUUACCGUUUGUUCGAAUUAACUGGGCGUAAAGCGUACGUAGGGCGAAUCAAAAAUUUGGGGGGUGAAAUCCCGGGGGCUCAACCCCCGGGAACUGGCCUCCAAAACUCCUGGUCUAAAAUUCGAGAAAGGGGGAGUGGGAAUUUCCAAGGGAAAGGGUGAAAUUUCGUUGAUAUAAGGGGGAAACCCCGGGGGGAAAAGGCGCCCCCCUGGCUUCGAAACCUGAC